This 77-nucleotide transfer RNA is filed under the name Deltaproteobacteria bacterium. Its description in RNAcentral is "tRNA-Arg". It matches the Rfam family "tRNA". Rfam says of the family: Transfer RNA (tRNA) molecules are approximately 80 nucleotides in length. Their secondary structure includes four short double-helical elements and three loops (D, anti-codon, and T loops). The record is from RNAcentral. Lineage: Bacteria; Pseudomonadati; Myxococcota; Myxococcia.
GCGCCUGUAGCUCAGUUGGAUAGAGCAACGGACGUCUAAUCCGUAGGUCGGGGGUUCGAAUCCCUUCAGGCGCGCCA